Molecule: non-coding RNA, 1754 nt
Organism: Anas platyrhynchos (mallard)
Lineage: Eukaryota; Metazoa; Chordata; Aves; Anseriformes; Anatidae
Source: RefSeq, a predicted model, not a curated record
UUUUAACAGAUCUCUAUUUCCAAGUUGGCUCCUGUGGUCUUCAACAAGAGUGGAGGGUACUGAAAUCAUUCUUCCUUAUCGACGCAGCUCAUAGGAGUGUUAGAGAAUAAGAGCUUUGUGUCCCACAAGCCCCACGUGUACCGGAGGGUAGGACUACAAACCUAACUUCCCAAGGAAGUCAGAGCAGCAAAUAUAUAGUUGAGAAUUAAAAGGGAGUGCUUGGAAUGGGAACAUCUUCUGUGUGAGCCUGCUUUUCUGCUUUGAUGGGGAGGUGCAAGCUGCUUGGAGAGGCCUGGUAGGCAGUGCUCAUGCCACAGUAACUUAUCUAAAUGAAGGAGAUCCUAUGAGACGAAAUGAUGCCCUGACUAGCUCAUUCUCCUAUCCUCUGUUCACAUUGUUUGAAUGUGUUUCAGUGCUCGUAGAGGAAGAGGAGCGGUAAAAUAUCUUGUCAGCGUGGACAAAAUGACAAUGCUCCUUUCCCUUCAGAAGAUCAGACCAUCUCCUCACCUAUAGGUCUAGCAUAGGAGUUUCCUUUCCCUUAUCCCCCUAUGUACUGAACAAACCCUUGGACCUUCACCAAUGCAACUGUGCUCUGCCUUGCUGCACCUCAAAAUCAUGCUGGGAGCCUGUGAUCCCAAGGCCCUCUUCCCUCAGGGUUCUGCCACCUGCAUUGAGAAUGCAGCCCACCUCCAGUUCUGGGAAUAAAAGGUACGUGCAUGUGAUCCGUCUGUAGGGAGUAUAUCACCUGCAGCAUGCAUGCAGGCAAAACUGAGAUAUGUGAAAGCAACGUUACCAGUAUGUAUAGGGGAGCAAGCUCCAAUGGCACACGUUCACCUCCACAUUCAGACGGGUAACCCGCAGAGAAUGCAGUGACGCACAGCUCAAAUGAAACUUAAUGUGAACCAAAAAGAAAAAAGAGCAGCUCGGCUACACAAAUCAUUGGCAAAAUGAAACCAGUUUGAAAGCCCAGCUGGGAAAAUAUGGCCAAUAACAAUUUUAAUUCUUGUGUGAUGAGUAAUGUCUCCUGGCACCUAGCGAGCAGUUGACAUCAAGCUAGCAGAAGUCAGAAAGGACACUAAAUAAUGCCAUGUUCUGCCGUGAUGUCAGCGGGUGAUAAUUCUGGAACCUACAAGUAGGCAUCAGUUCCCAAGAAGACUAAAGAUAAUCUCACCCUUUCUGGUACUUCAUGGGUGGGCGACUGGGGAGCUGGUCUUGGCAGCAGGGGAUGCUGCCCAGUCGUGCAGUGUGACUGAAAUCCCUGGGUGGUGAGAAUUGUACAGUCAGCUGAGUGGAGACUUAUUUAGGAAUCAGAUGGUUUAGGUUUAUCUGGCCAUCCAUGGCAACAGACUGUUUUUGUUGGCUAAUGGGCUCUACAACCCCUUUAAAACAUUUACCUUUGUUACCGAAUGUGCUAAUCAGCUGAACUUCAAGUCUCCAACCCGAAGGAGGAUUUUGCUGUGAAAAUUCUCUCUCUUGGUAAUUUUAUGGUAGAGGUGAGAUGGUGGGAAGUUGGGAGAAGUACAGAGAAGAGAGAUGAGGCACAGUGAAGCGGCUCCAACGCGCUUUAAUUGAGCUGUGCUCAUGCGUUGUGUCUAUGUUGAGUGCCUGUUUUCUGACAGCCAGGCAUGUCUGAGGUAUCUCAAACUGGCAGCUGAAGUCUCUGAUCCCUUUUGAAAUGCUUGGCAUGAAAGGUGAGUGGGAGAUGAUAAAAAGAUGUCUGUAGCAGCUUUGGAAAUGAAACUUGGAUCUGCUGA